Molecule: long non-coding RNA, 338 nt
Organism: Chionomys nivalis (European snow vole)
Lineage: Eukaryota; Metazoa; Chordata; Mammalia; Rodentia; Cricetidae
Exons: 3
Source: RefSeq, a predicted model, not a curated record
UCUCCUUGCUCUCAGCGUGUGGCCGUCUUCAGCUGCACUAGGAAGGGUCAAGAGCUGUUUGUGCUGGAAGGCGCGUUCAUUUUUAAAAGUGGACCUGGCACACCUCUUCUAGGAAAGACUUCACUCCCUGGGAUUCUGAUGGCCUCUCGAGGGUGGAGGUGUCUUCAAUACUACCCUGUGAGAUGUGUAGCCAAGACACCAAGAGCAAGGACAGUCUGGCUCCAUUCUGAGACAAUGACUGGCACCUAGUAGGGCCCUGAAAUGGGCCAACUGACCGUCAGGGGCAGUGUUCGCUCCCACCAUAUCUAACGGCCAUACUGUUUGGAUGGAGAGAGGAA